RNAcentral lists this ribosomal RNA (250 nucleotides) under uncultured bacterium. RNAcentral describes it as "partial 16S ribosomal RNA". It matches the Rfam family "Bacterial small subunit ribosomal RNA", at positions 524 to 773 of the family's 1533-position model. The record is from RNAcentral.
CACAGAGGGUGCGAGCGUUAAUCGGAAUUACUGGGCGUAAAGCGCGCGUAGGCGGCUUUGCAAGUCGGGUGUGAAAUCCCCAGGCUUAACCUGGGAACUGCAUUCGAGACUGCAUCGCUAGAGUAUCGGAGAGGGAAGUGGAAUUUCAGGUGUAGCGGUGAAAUGCGUAGAUAUCUGAAGGAACAUCAGUGGCGAAAGCGACUUCCUGGACGAAUACUGACGCUCAUGUGCGAAAGCGUGGGGAGCAAAC